AGGACGAACGCUGGCGGCGUGCUUAACACAUGCAAGUCGAGCGGAAAGGCCCUUCGGGGUACUCGAGCGGCGAACGGGUGAGUAACACGUGAGCAACCUGCCCCUGGCUCUGGGAUAGCCUUCGGAAACGGGGAUUAAUACCGGAUAUUCACUGCUUCCUGCAUGGGGGGUGGUGGAAAGUUUUUCGGCUGGGGUGGGGCUCGCGGCCUAUCAGCUUGUUGGGGGGGUGACGGCCCACCAAGGCGACGACGGGUAGCCGGCCUGAGAGGGCGACCGGCCACACUGGGACUGAGACACGGCCCAGACUCCUACGGGAGGCAGCAGUGGGGAAUAUUGCGCAAUGGGCGGAAGCCUGACGCAGCGACGCCACGUGCGGGAUGAAGGCCUUCGGGUUGUAAACCGCUUUCACCAGGGACGAAGCGAGAGUGACGGUACCGUGGGGAAGAAGCGCCGGCUAACUACGUGCCAGCACGCCGC
Molecule: ribosomal RNA, 477 nt
Filed under: uncultured bacterium
Lineage: Bacteria
Description: SSU rRNA
Rfam family: Bacterial small subunit ribosomal RNA
Source: RNAcentral